This is an RNA transcript of Hylaeus anthracinus, 1432 nucleotides long. It is a transcript of the gene named macro domain-containing protein CT2219-like, with no coding region annotated. The record is from RefSeq and is a predicted model, not a curated record. Lineage: Eukaryota; Metazoa; Arthropoda; Insecta; Hymenoptera; Colletidae. The transcript has 7 exons.
CGUUGCGCCAUCAACAAAUUAGUGCGUUAUUGCCGGUCGCGAUUGUGGUUAAUCAGAUAGAAGCAAAACAACGCGAUUUUCCUGAAACUUUUUCUGCAAAUAAGUUCGACUCCGACGCGAAACCGUGAAAAUACGUAGUUAGAUUCAAUUUUCCGUUCGAAGGAUCGAGAAUUCAUGACUGACAAAAGUCGUUAACGUCUUUUUCGAAUAGAAGACUAUGUUCGCUCUCAGAGCGACGCUCGCCGAUCGUUUACCAGUUGCCGUCCUACUUCGACUGAUCGUUCAGAAUCCCCUGUCUGGAUCGAAUUUUGUCACAGCUGUCAAUCCUGAAGCAAGCAUGUCGUUCGAGGUUGAAAAACAGAAAUUCUUAACCAUGCCAAUGGAAGAGAAAAGGAAAUACUAUAAGGGAAGCAUUACCACGUUAGAUCAAAUUCCAACAUGGGUGGACUAUUGGCAUAAAAAUAAAUCCAAUAUCGGCUUGUUGACACUUGAGAAAGUCGAGAAAGUUGACAACGAGUUAGCUAACAAAGUUUCAAUGUGGCAGGGCGAUAUCACAUCUCUAGAGAUAGACGCUAUCGUCAAUGCUGCAAAUUCUAGACUUCUCGGUGGUGGAGGAGUUGACGGAGCUAUUCACCGAGCUGCAGGACCAAAUUUAAAGAAAGAGUGUGCAACUUUGGGAGGAUGUCGCGUCGGAGAAGCUAAAAUAACCGGGGCUUAUAUGUUACCCUCAAAGUAUGUCAUUCAUACGGUUGGCCCGCAAGGGGAAAAGCCUGAAAAGUUGAGGGAAUGUUAUGAAAAUAGUCUCGCCUUAGCCAAAGAGAAUAAAUUGCGCACAAUAGCAUUUCCUUGCAUAUCAACCGGAAUCUAUGGAUAUCCGCAAAGACCGGCGGCCAAAGUAGCUUUGUCGACGGUCAAGAAGUUCCUACUCGACAACAAAGACGCAGUGGAUAGAGUUAUCUUUUGUCUAUUCCUUAAAACUGACAAAGAUAUAUACGAGGAACUGUUACAAAAAUAUUUUGCUACCGAUUAGAUAUCUGCUGGCAGAGGUGUCGUCCUAUAUUUUCGAACGAAAUUUAGAACGCGUCCCCCUUAUCGAAACACCCAACUAUCGUCAGAUAACUUUACAUUAAUUAGAGUACCAACUAAUUCGAGCACUGUUGGAGCGUUUUUCGAAAUCUAUACAGGGUCUCGAACUUGGGCUAACAAAUGAUCGCGGUACGGUAGGCAAGCACCUUACCAACUACGCUACACUUUUGGCAGAGCUCGUCAGAAUUUUCUUUGAAUAGUAGAUUACAAAUAGAAACUCCGUACAGCGAUAUAUUCGCAAUGUUUAUUCGAUUAAACGGUUGGUUAACUAACCGUUCAUCGCAUGACGAACCAUUGAACAUAAUAUUUCGAUUAGGAGAAUCAAUAAACUUAUGUUCGAAUUGCA